GCUAAUACCGCAUAAUGCCUACGGGCCAAAGAGGGGGACCUUAGGGCCUCUCGCGUCAAGAUAUGCCUAGGUGGGAUUAGCUAGUUGGUGAGGUAAUGGCUCACCAAGGCGACGAUCCCUAGCUGGUCUGAGAGGAUGAUCAGCCACACUGGAACUGAGACACGGUCCAGACUCCUACGGGAGGCAGCAGUGGGGAAUAUUGCACAAUGGGCGAAAGCCUGAUGCAGCCAUGCCGCGUGUAUGAAGAAGGCCUUCGGGUUGUAAAGUACUUUCAGUUGUGAGGAAGGGGGUGUCGUUAAUAGCGGCAUCUCUUGACGUUAGCAACAGAAGAAGCACCGGCUAACUCCGUGCCAGCAGCCGCGGUAAUACGGAGGGUGCGAGCGUUAAUCGGAAUUACUGGGCGUAAAGCGCAUGCAGGUGGUUCAUUAAGUCAGAUGUGAAAGCCCGGGGCUCAACCUCGGAACUGCAUUUGAAACUGGUGAACUAGAGUACUGUAGAGGGGGGUAGAAUUUCAGGUGUAGCGGUGAAAUGCGUAGAGAUCUGAAGGAAUACCAGUGGCGAAGGCGGCCCCCUGGA
This 576-nucleotide ribosomal RNA is filed under the name uncultured Vibrio sp. RNAcentral describes it as "bacterial SSU rRNA". It matches the Rfam family "Bacterial small subunit ribosomal RNA", at positions 162 to 733 of the family's 1533-position model. Lineage: Bacteria; Pseudomonadati; Pseudomonadota; Gammaproteobacteria; Vibrionales; Vibrionaceae. The record is from RNAcentral.